UUGCUCUCCAAAAUCUAGGGUUUUCAAUCUCUCAUCCCCAUUGUGUUGCUUUUGCUCCCGGAUCUCUUUAAUAGUCUUCUAUUUUUCAAUUUUGGUCUAAAGUUUACUUACGAAAUUGUCAACCUUUGAGGAACCAGUAAGAGAGAUUUUUCACUGAGAUUUGUUACCUUUGUAUCAUCAAGACAACGGUUGCAUUUAAGCUUCAUUAGUGCAGAACAUCCUCUUUUCCAUUCCAAGAAAUAUGGCUCCAAGACGUCUGCGAAGUAUUAAAGCUUCAAAAGUUUCUCAAUUGAGUAGUUUGCAAAGAGAGGAAAGAAUUAUUGAUUCACAACAACAUGUGUCAUUGCCUAUGGAUCCAUCGGUCUCAUCUACACAA
Dioscorea cayenensis subsp. rotundata (Guinea yam) is the source of this 376-nucleotide long non-coding RNA. RefSeq lists it as uncharacterized. The transcript has 3 exons. NCBI's taxonomy places the organism in Eukaryota, Viridiplantae, Streptophyta, Magnoliopsida, Dioscoreales, Dioscoreaceae. The record is from RefSeq and is a predicted model, not a curated record.